CCUGAUAAAGAAUUCAAAGAGCCUGAUCCUGUCUGAUUUCAGAAGCUAAGCAGAGUCGGGCCUGGUUAGUACCUGGAUGGGAGACCAUCUAGAAAGAUCAGGCGCUGUAGGGG
RNAcentral lists this ribosomal RNA (113 nucleotides) under Pteropus alecto (black flying fox). Lineage: Eukaryota; Metazoa; Chordata; Mammalia; Chiroptera; Pteropodidae. The record is from RNAcentral.